This 847-nucleotide ribosomal RNA is filed under the name Salmonella enterica subsp. enterica serovar Typhimurium. RNAcentral's name for it is "partial 23S ribosomal RNA". It matches the Rfam family "Bacterial large subunit ribosomal RNA", at positions 1956 to 2802 of the family's 2925-position model. Lineage: Bacteria; Pseudomonadati; Pseudomonadota; Gammaproteobacteria; Enterobacterales; Enterobacteriaceae. The record is from RNAcentral.
GUAGCGAAAUUCCUUGUCGGGUAAGUUCCGACCUGCACGAAUGGCGUAAUGAUGGCCAGGCUGUCUCCACCCGAGACUCAGUGAAAUUGAACUCGCUGUGAAGAUGCAGUGUACCCGCGGCAAGACGGAAAGACCCCGUGAACCUUUACUAUAGCUUGACACUGAACAUUGAGCCUUGAUGUGUAGGAUAGGUGGGAGGCUUUGAAGUGUGGACGCCAGUCUGCAUGGAGCCGACCUUGAAAUACCACCCUUUAAUGUUUGAUGUUCUAACGUGGACCCGUAAUCCGGGUUGCGGACAGUGUCUGGUGGGUAGUUUGACUGGGGCGGUCUCCUCCUAAAGAGUAACGGAGGAGCACGAAGGUUGGCUAAUCCUGGUCGGACAUCAGGAGGUUAGUGCAAUGGCAUAAGCCAGCUUGACUGCGAGCGUGACGGCGCGAGCAGGUGCGAAAGCAGGUCAUAGUGAUCCGGUGGUUCUGAAUGGAAGGGCCAUCGCUCAACGGAUAAAAGGUACUCCGGGGAUAACAGGCUGAUACCGCCCAAGAGUUCAUAUCGACGGCGGUGUUUGGCACCUCGAUGUCGGCUCAUCACAUCCUGGGGCUGAAGUAGGUCCCAAGGGUAUGGCUGUUCGCCAUUUAAAGUGGUACGCGAGCUGGGUUUAGAACGUCGUGAGACAGUUCGGUCCCUAUCUGCCGUGGGCGCUGGAGAACUGAGGGGGGCUGCUCCUAGUACGAGAGGACCGGAGUGGACGCAUCACUGGUGUUCGGGUUGUCAUGCCAAUGGCACUGCCCGGUAGCUAAAUGCGGAAGAGAUAAGUGCUGAAAGCAUCUAAGCACGAAACUUGCCCCGA